GAUAUUCUUAGAGUCUCCCUGUAUUGGCGUGUUAAUAGAGGUGUCUUUGGCCGGGCAUCUCGGUUAGUGAAUC
This 73-nucleotide non-coding RNA is filed under the name uncultured Prevotella sp. RNAcentral describes it as "L13-Bacteroidia ribosomal protein leader". It matches the Rfam family "L13-Bacteroidia ribosomal protein leader". Lineage: Bacteria; Pseudomonadati; Bacteroidota; Bacteroidia; Bacteroidales; Prevotellaceae. The record is from RNAcentral.